GCCAGCUUGGCCUAGAGGCAAGGCGUCGCUCUUGUAAAGCGAAGACCGCAGGUUCGAUCCCUGCAGUUGGCA
Molecule: transfer RNA, 72 nt
Filed under: Pristionchus pacificus
Lineage: Eukaryota; Metazoa; Nematoda; Chromadorea; Rhabditida; Neodiplogasteridae
Description: tRNA-Thr (TGT) (tRNA-Thr-TGT-6-1)
Rfam family: tRNA
About the family: Transfer RNA (tRNA) molecules are approximately 80 nucleotides in length.
Source: Rfam by way of RNAcentral